Molecule: ribosomal RNA, 752 nt
Filed under: uncultured bacterium
Lineage: Bacteria
Description: bacterial SSU rRNA
Rfam family: Bacterial small subunit ribosomal RNA
Source: RNAcentral
AAUUCGAUUGAGUUUGAUCAUGGCUCAGGACGAACGCUGGCGGCGUGCUUAACACAUGCAAGUGGAGCGGCGAACCAGGCUUCGGCCUGGGGCAGAGCCGCGAACGGGUGAGUAACACGUGGGUAACGUGCCCCAAUGAUCGGGACAACCCGGGGAAACCCGGGCUAAUACCGAAUGUGCUCCCCUCACAUCAGUGAGAGGUGAAAAGGAAGCUUCGGCCUCCGCAUUGGGAUCGGCCCGCGGCCCAUUAGCUUGUUGGUGAGGUAACGGCUCACCAAGGCUGCGAUGGGUAGCUGGUCUGAGAGGACGAUCAGCCACACUGGGACUGAGACACGGCCCAGACUCCUACGGGAGGCAGCAGUGGGGAAUCUUGCGCAAUGCGCGAAAGCGUGACGCAGCAACGCCGCGUGGGGGAAGAAGGCCUUCGGGUUGUAAACCCCUUUCAGGAGGGACGAAGCCCGAGCGGUUAAUAGCCGACUCGGGUGACGGUACCUCCAGAAGAAGCCCCGGCUAACUACGUGCCAGCAGCCGCGGUAAUACGUAGGGGGCAAGCGUUGUCCGGAAUCAUUGGGCGUAAAGAGCGUGUAGGCGGUCCGGUAAGUCGGCUGUGAAAGUCCAGGGCUCAACCCUGGGAUGCCGGUCGAUACUGCCGGACUAGAGUUCGGAAGAGGCGAGUGGAAUUCCCGGUGUAGCGGUGAAAUGCGCAGAUAUCGGGAGGAACACCUAUGGCGAAGGCAGCUCGCUGGGACGUU